UGCCAGCAGCCACGGUAAGACGGAGGGCGCAAACGUUGUUCGGAAUCACUGGGCAUAAAGAGCACGUAGGCGGCUUGCUAAGUCGGACGUGAAAGCCCUCGGCCCCACCGGGGAACUGCAUCCGAUACUGGCAGGCUCGAGGACGGUAGGGGUAAGUGGAACUCCAGGUGGAACGGUGAAAUGUGUAGAUAUUUGGAGGAACACCGGUGGCGAAAGCGACUUACUGGACCGUCUCUGACGCUGAGGUGCGAAAGCUAGGGUAGCGAACAGGAUUAGAUA
RNAcentral lists this ribosomal RNA (279 nucleotides) under uncultured bacterium. RNAcentral's name for it is "partial 16S ribosomal RNA". It matches the Rfam family "Bacterial small subunit ribosomal RNA", at positions 506 to 784 of the family's 1533-position model. The record is from RNAcentral.